CAGAAUGAGGCAUGUAGUCCUUUCUUUGAACUUCCACAUAGUGUUCUGUCAGUAAGGAGGCUUUGUGGUUUUCGGUCCCCUGCUCAGUUAAUGAGAUGUAGAGGUAGCCAGUACUGGACCACCUCAUCUGUUUGUGCUUCCAGAGAUGCAAGGAACUACCCCAUAAAGUGAUCAUUCUCAGCAGAGAGAGUCAAACUGGCCAUGUUGCCAGCAAGAGUGUGCUGAGCUUUCGAGUCUCUGGUACCAAGAGGACAGUAAAAGAAAAGACUUUUCAUACUCCAAAAUGUAUGCUUAAAUAAGCUAUUUAAUCAGAAAAGGGCUUCAGAAGAGGGCGAAAUGGUAACUGAAGACUUGGCAUCAUUUUAAAUUCCAGAAAUGUGGGAGAAAACAAAGCCAACAAAAGAUUCUUCCGGUUUUGCCUGGAUUUCAGUUACAGUUCUUGGGCACUGAAUGACAGUAUCCACCAACAUAAAAAAAGACUCUAGAUAUUUUGAUAGAGGUUCAUUGCUCUGCAUAUCAAGGUCAAUCCCAAAGAUUGCUUUGGCCUAGAUUCCUUGCCGAUUCCUUGGAUGCUAUUUCGGUCCUUUCUGCUGUAUAUGCAACUUUCAAAAUGUUGCUUAUUAUGAACGGGAAGUCUUUGGGCUUUUGUUUCUGAACUUACUUCAUUUGGCAGUUAACAAAAUCCAUUAUCUCUUUAUUUUUCACUUCCUUUUUUGGACUUUGAAGUUUAUUGUUUAGGUUGGACAUCAGUUCGAACAAUGAAGUUACUGUGAGCAAGUUUGACUUGAGAGCUUCAGUACUAUCUGUGAAUGUUUUUCGAGCAUGGUUCAAGAAGAAAUAGUACAAUUCAGCAUCUCCAAAACUACCCCAUAUUACUUUAUUGCAUUUAUCUUCCCCCAAAGAUUGAAAGUAACUUGUAAACCCUUUUCAACACAUUGCCGGUUGUUCAAUGAGCAAGUACAAGUGACAGCCAAGGUGUGACUACAUGGCCUAGAAUUUUACUGUAUUUUACCCCAGCAAAUUGGCCAAGUUCUUUAAAGCUGUUGAACUCUGUGACUGAAUUCUUAAAUGGCUGUAAACUUUUUAAACUAGGUUUUCUACAUCAAUGUUUAAUUUGGUCGCUGCAAAUCUUGUGUUGCUGCGUAUGACAUGAGCUAAACAAUUGGUAACAACGUCACUUUUUUCUCUGUUUUUGGAAAACCGUUAAAUUUAGAAUAAUUAACACCCACAUUGUCUUCUGUAUAUGCUGACACAUUUGAUAAUUUUAGUCUAAAUUCAUCAAUCCUAUUGAUUAGGUUGGUAGUGAUUUGCUUGAGAAGUUUCAUGACAGUCUUCAUAAAAAUCUAAUAAACAAUAUUGAAUGUGGUAACACAGUGGAGUGCUGUAAAAUAUGUGGGAAGCCUUUCAUGAAAUCUUUAUUGGAAAUACCCAGUUAUUUUGAAUAAUAAAUGUUCUCUUUAAGGUCAUCUGUACACUUAGAAACAGAAUAUGGGGCUAGCCCAUUUUCACAAAGUGCUUUUGAUUUACUUUUU
Non-coding RNA from Chrysemys picta bellii (western painted turtle), 1532 nucleotides. Lineage: Eukaryota; Metazoa; Chordata; Testudines; Emydidae. The record is from RefSeq and is a predicted model, not a curated record.